RNAcentral lists this ribosomal RNA (586 nucleotides) under uncultured bacterium. Its description in RNAcentral is "partial 16S ribosomal RNA". It matches the Rfam family "Bacterial small subunit ribosomal RNA", at positions 355 to 1375 of the family's 1533-position model. The record is from RNAcentral.
UGGGGAAUUUUGGACAAUGGGCGAAAGCCUGAUCCAGCAAUGCCGCGUGUGUGAAGAAGGCCUUCGGGUUGUAAAGCACUUUUGUCCGGAAAGAAAUCCUUGGCUCUAAUACAGUCGGGGGAUGACGGUACCGGAAGAAUAAGCACCGGCUAACUACGUGCCAGCAGCCGCGGUAAUACGUAGGGUGCAAGCGUUAAUCGGAAUUACUGGGCGUAAAGCGUGCGCAGGCGGUUUGCUAAGACCGAUGUGAAAUCCCCGGGCUCAACCUGGGAACUGCAUUGGUGACUGGCAGGCUAGAGUAUGGCAGAGGGGGGUAGAAUUCCACGUGUAGCAGUGAAAUGCGUAGAGAUGUGGAGGAAUACCGAUGGUGAAGGCAGCCCCCUGGGCCAAUACUGACGCUCAUGCACGAAAGCGUGGGGAGCAAAACAGGAUUAGAUACCCUGGUAGUCCACGCCCUAAAACGAUGUCAACUAGUUGUUGGGGAUUCAUUCCUUAGUAACGUAGCUAACGCGUGAAGUUGACCGCCUGGGGAGUACGGUCGCAAGAUUAAAACUCAAAUGAAUUGACGGGGUCAUAGCUGUUUCCU